Long non-coding RNA from Cervus elaphus (red deer), 114 nucleotides. RefSeq lists it as uncharacterized. The record is from RefSeq and is a predicted model, not a curated record. The transcript is spliced from 3 exons. NCBI's taxonomy places the organism in Eukaryota, Metazoa, Chordata, Mammalia, Artiodactyla, Cervidae.
GGAAGGGGAGAAGCAAAGAAGGGAGGCCACUGGAGACAGAAGGAUGGAGCAGCAAUUGAAUCACAAGUAUGCCUCAUUGUUUGAUCUAUGCUGGUGAUGUCUGAGAUGAGUCUG